CCUACGGGGGGCAGCAGUAGGGAAUCUUUCACAAUGGGCGAAAGCCUGAUGGAGCAACGCCGCGUGCAGGAUGAAGGCCUUCGGGUUGUAAACUGCUUUUAUAAGCGAGAAAUAUGAUGGUAACUUAUGAAUAAGGAUCGGCUAACUACGUGCCAGCAGCCGCGGUCAUACGUAGGAUCCGAGCAUUAUCCGGAGUGACUGGGUGUAAAGAGUUGCGUAGGUGGCAUAAUAAGUAGCUAGUGAAAUCUGGUGGCUCAACCAUUCAGACUAUUAGCUAAACUGUUAAGCUCGAGACCGUUAGGGGUAACUGGAAUUUCUAGUGUAGGAGUGAAAUCCGUAGAUAUUAGAAAGAACACCAAUAGCGUAGGCAGGUUGCUGGGACGGUUCUGACACUAAGGCACGAAAGCGUAGGGAGCAAACGGGAUUAGAUACCCCUGUAGUC
Molecule: ribosomal RNA, 442 nt
Filed under: uncultured bacterium
Lineage: Bacteria
Description: partial 16S ribosomal RNA
Rfam family: Bacterial small subunit ribosomal RNA
Source: RNAcentral